AGCGAACGUUUGCGGCGGGCCUAACACAUGCAAGUCGAACGGGCAGUCCCUUCGGGGGCGUGUCAGUGGCGCACGGGUGGCGUAACGCGUGGGAACCUGCCCCUCCGGUUCGGAAUAACAGUUAGAAAUGACUGCUAAUACCGGAUGAUGACUUCGGUCCAAAGAUUUAUCGCCGAGGGAUGGGCCCGCGUAGGAUUAGCUAGUUGGUGGGGUAAAGGCCUACCAAGGCGACGAUCCUUAGCUGGUCUGAGAGGAUGAUCAGCCACACUGGGACUGAGACACGGCCCAGACUCCUACGGGAGGCAGCAGUGAGGAAUAUUGCGCAAUGGGCGAAAGCCUGACGCAGCGACGCCGCGUGGGGGACGAAGGUUUUCGGAUUGUAACCCUUUCAUGAGGAAAGAUAAAGUGGGUAACCACUUAGACGGUACCUCAAGAAGAAGCCACGGCUAACUUCGUG
This 457-nucleotide ribosomal RNA is filed under the name uncultured bacterium. RNAcentral describes it as "bacterial SSU rRNA". It matches the Rfam family "Bacterial small subunit ribosomal RNA", at positions 29 to 507 of the family's 1533-position model. The record is from RNAcentral.